RNAcentral lists this ribosomal RNA (361 nucleotides) under Copelatus bromeliarum. RNAcentral's name for it is "SSU rRNA". It matches the Rfam family "Eukaryotic small subunit ribosomal RNA", at positions 172 to 505 of the family's 1831-position model. Lineage: Eukaryota; Metazoa; Arthropoda; Insecta; Coleoptera; Dytiscidae. The record is from RNAcentral.
UGCAAACAGAGUUCCGACCGGAGACGGGAGGAAUGCUUUUAUUAGAUCAAAACCAAUCGGCGGCGGGCGCGUCGCGCGCCCGUUCGCCGCUCAACCUGGUGACUCUGAAUAACUUUCGGCUGAUCGCACGGUCCAGCACCGGCGACGCAUCUUUCAAAUGUCUGCCUUAUCAACUGUCGAUGGUAGGUUCUGCGCCUACCAUGGUCGUAACGGGUAACGGGGAAUCAGGGUUCGAUUCCGGAGAGGGAGCCUGAGAAACGGCUACCACAUCCAAGGAAGGCAGCAGGCGCGCAAAUUACCCACUCCCGGCACGGGGAGGUAGUGACGAAAAAUAACGAUACGGGACUCAUCCGAGGCCCCG